This is a long non-coding RNA of Rhododendron vialii, 717 nucleotides long. RefSeq lists it as uncharacterized. The record is from RefSeq and is a predicted model, not a curated record. Lineage: Eukaryota; Viridiplantae; Streptophyta; Magnoliopsida; Ericales; Ericaceae. The transcript has 2 exons.
UUUGAAUUGUUUAACAACACCAAUCCAAGGACUGGAUCAGUUGUGGUAGUUAACUAUUACAAGCAUAAACAAACAGAGUUGAACACAACUUCAUGAAAAUUAUGGGAACUAUGGAAACAUAUGAAAUGGAAUUACAAAGAGUUUCACUGACAUGCGGCCUACAAAUUCAGGGGAAGAAUUUCAUGUCCAAGUUACUCAUGAUUUUGUAGAAAUUCGUAACAAAGGAAGAAACAGGGGAAUGGGCUCAAGAAUUAUAAUUACACCACCAACACCAGUUACUAAUUCACGAAGAACCAAGCAUAGCACAUAUGCCCUAUGGAUGAGCCAAAUUCAGAUGAAUUUGAGACCACAUAAUACGAUGAACAUGAUAUAUUUGUUAGGUUUGUGAAGUGUAAAUAGUACUCGCAAAAUAUCUUUUGAGCACUAUGCACAUUACAUAUCCCCGCAUAUCUGAUGUUGGCAACAUUAGCAGCCGAGGUUUUACUCCUUGCUCGUAUUAGUCGUAUAUAUAGCCUAUAUAAUUCUGGAGUACUUCAUCCUGGCUCAUUAAUAUAACGAAAACUGGUGUGAAUCCUCCGGCAACUGCAACCGCAUACACGGUGCGCCAAAAUUCUUGUGAUUGAAUUGUUUCCUUCGCAAUGUUUUGUGCGUGUUUAGUUCGUCUCCUAACACUAUCUGAACUCAAAUAAAAAGCUCAUUCAAUUUCAAAACAAUAAA